ACCCCUACGGGCGGCAGCAGUGGGGAAUAUUGGACAAUGGGCGCAAGCCUGAUCCAGCAAUGCCGCGUGAGUGAGGAAGGCCUUAGGGUUGUAAAGCUCUUUCACCCGCGACGAUGAUGACGGUAGCGGGAGAAGACGCCCCGGCUAACUUCGUGCCAGCAGCCGCGGUAAUACGAAGGGGGCGAGCGCUGUUCGGUUUUACUGGGCGUAAAGGGCGCGCAGGCGGCUCGUUUUGUCAGGCGUGACAGCCCCGGGCUUAACCUGGGAACUGCGCUUGAAACGGGGGGGCUAGAGUUCGGGAGAGGAGAGUGGAAUUCCCAGUGUAGAGGUGAAAUUCGUAGAUAUUGGGAAGAACACCGGUGGCGAAGGCGGCUCUCUGGACCGAGACUGACGCUGAGGCGCGCAAGCGUGGGGAGCAAACAGGAUUAGAUACCCGAGUAGUCC
Molecule: ribosomal RNA, 444 nt
Filed under: uncultured Rhodospirillaceae bacterium
Lineage: Bacteria; Pseudomonadati; Pseudomonadota; Alphaproteobacteria; Rhodospirillales; Rhodospirillaceae
Description: bacterial SSU rRNA
Rfam family: Bacterial small subunit ribosomal RNA
Source: RNAcentral